Molecule: long non-coding RNA, 674 nt
Organism: Pteropus alecto (black flying fox)
Lineage: Eukaryota; Metazoa; Chordata; Mammalia; Chiroptera; Pteropodidae
Exons: 3
Source: RefSeq, a predicted model, not a curated record
UCCUGGGGUCCCGUAACCCGCAGGGAGCGCGAACCCUCUGUGCGCUAUGAUUGGGCUACUGCCCCAGGGACGCGAACGGACCUCAAGGUGUGGACGGGCUGUAAGAGUCGUCAGCCUUCUCUGGCUGGCUCCCACCUCCAGCCCUCACUUCCAGGUGAUCUGUGUUCAACUGGAGGAUUGCUGAGGUUAACGCUGCCUUAAGGACUCUGAAAAGAGGACGGGGGUUACUCAAAAGUUGGAAGCCCAGAACUGUUCUUGGAGGCCCACGGAAGACCUGGAAUCAGCCUCCCCAUUUCUCCAGUCGGUAUGUUGCCUCCUUUGCAGUUGAGAGCAUCAGUCACGAGCAGCGAGAUCUGGAAGAAAAUCUACGGAGAUAGUAUAAGAAAUGAUCUAAUGAUUAACGUGGCUGUGCCCCUUUAAGAACAUUUUGUUAAACAUUUCUAUCUACUCCUUAACAUCAUUUUUUUUUUCCUUAAGCCAUUGUUUUCUUCCCUUCAUCAUUUUUAUAAGUAGCAAAAAUCCAGCUUUCUUCCUGUCUCAAGAUAGACAUAGUGGAGACUGAUGUAGGGAGAGAAAACAGUAAGAAAAAAGAAUUCCUCUCCACUUGAUUCAGGAGGACCUCCAUAGUUCAGGCCCUUCAAGGCACAAAAUAAAAGUAAGAAUUAGGAACUCAG